GAUGAAGAACGUAGCGAAAUGCGAUAAGUAAUGUGAAUUGCAGAAUUCAGUGAAUCAUCGAAUCUUUGAACGCACCUUGCGCCCUUUGGCUAUUCCGAAGGGCAUGCCUGUUUGAGUAUCAUGAACACCUCAACUCUCAUGGUUCGCCAUGAUGAGCUUGGACUCUGGGGGUCUUGCUGGCCUAUGGUCAGCUCCUCUCAAAUAAAUCAGCUUGCCAGUGUUUGGUGGCAUCACAGGUGUGAUAACUAUCUACGCUUGUGGUUUUCCAUCAGGUAACCUUCAGUGAUGGAGGUUCGCUGGAGCUCAUAAAUGUCCCUCCUCAGCGAGGUCAGCUUUUUGAACGUUUGAUCUCAAAUCAGGUAGGACUACCCGCUGAACUUAAGCAUAUCAAUAAGCGGAGGA
Molecule: unclassified non-coding RNA, 402 nt
Filed under: soil metagenome
Description: partial contains 5.8S ribosomal RNA, internal transcribed spacer 2, and large subunit ribosomal RNA
Rfam family: 5.8S ribosomal RNA (bases 1-121)
Source: RNAcentral